Molecule: ribosomal RNA, 450 nt
Filed under: uncultured bacterium
Lineage: Bacteria
Description: bacterial SSU rRNA
Rfam family: Bacterial small subunit ribosomal RNA
Source: RNAcentral
GUGGGGAAUUUUGGACAAUGGGCGCAAGCCUGAUCCAGCAAUGCCGCGUGUAGGAAGAAGGCCUUCGGGUUGUAAACUGCUUUUGUACGGAACGAAACGGUCCUGGUUAAUACCCGGGGCUAAUGACGGUACCGUAAGAAUAAGCACCGGCUAACUACGUGCCAGCAGCCGCGGUAAUACGUAGGGUGCAAGCGUUAAUCGGAAUUACUGGGCGUAAAGAGUGCGCAGGCGGUGCUGUAAGACAGGCGUGAAAUUCCCGGGCUUAACCUGGGAAUUGCGCUUGAGACUGCAGUGCUGGAGUGCGGCAGAGGGGGAUGGAAUUCCGCGUGUAGCAGUGAAAUGCGUAGAUAUGCGGAGGAACACCGAUGGCGAAGGCAAUCCCCUGGGCCUGCACUGACGCUCAUGCACGAAAGCGUGGGGAGCAAACAGGAUUAGAAACCCUAGUAGUCC